GAUGAACGCUGGCGGCGUGCCUAAUACAUGCAAGUCGAGCGAACAGACGAGGAGCUUGCUCCUCUGACGUUAGCGGCGGACGGGUGAGUAACACGUGGAUAACCUACCUAUAAGACUGGGAUAACUUCGGGAAACCGGAGCUAAUACCGGAUAACAUGUUGAACCGCAUGGUUUAACAGUGAAAGACGGUCUUGCUGUCACUUAUAGAUGGAUCCGCGCCGCAUUAGCUAGUUGGUAAGGUAACGGCUUACCAAGGCAACGAUGCGUAGCCGACCUGAGAGGGUGAUCGGCCACACUGGAACUGGGACACGGUCCAGACUCCUACGGGAGGCAGCAGUAGGGAAUCUUCCGCAAUGGGCGAAAGCCUGACGGAGCAACGCCGCGUGAGUGAAGAAGGUCUUCGGAUCGUAAAACUCUGUUAUUAGGGAAGAACAAAUGUGUAAGUAACUAUGCACGUCUUGACGGUACCUAAUCAGAAAGCCACGGCUAACUACGUG
Molecule: ribosomal RNA, 497 nt
Filed under: uncultured bacterium
Lineage: Bacteria
Description: partial 16S ribosomal RNA
Rfam family: Bacterial small subunit ribosomal RNA
Source: RNAcentral